Molecule: long non-coding RNA, 602 nt
Organism: Pieris napi
Lineage: Eukaryota; Metazoa; Arthropoda; Insecta; Lepidoptera; Pieridae
Exons: 4
Source: RefSeq, a predicted model, not a curated record
UGCGCUAAAAUAUUUUUAUCUUUUCAUACCCGAUGUCAGUAUAGUCAUAAUGGAGUAUUUAGUUAUAUUAUUGUUUGGUGUUCUAAAGGUAUCUGCGCAAUUCUACAACAUUUUCAGUGAAAACCCGAUAAAACCAGAAAAAUGUAUGGGAUCGGAUGAUAUUUUAUUAGAUCGGCACUGUUGUAUUGUACCAGCAUUUUUUGAUCGCUUCGUGGUGCGAUCAUGUGGUGGCAUUACGGAGAUAUUUGAAGUUCACAAAAAGGAAGGAGUCGCUUUGGGACGGCGUCAUUUUGUUCCAGACUGCACUUUCUGGGAAUGUGUUUUAAAAAAAUAUAAAAUGCUUAACGAUGACAAUACUGUUAGUACCGAAAAAUUUUACACGCACUUAGAGAAAUGGGCAUUGUUGAACAAGCCAUUUAGUACUCUAUUGCUGAGUGCGAAGAUUCACUGCAGACAAUACUUCAUAAUGUUUAUGCCGCUAUCCACUUGUGAAUUUUACAACUUUCUACUAUGCUUCAGAGAUUAUUUGAAACUAUAUGACUGUCCAGUAUUAAUACAAUCACAGAAAUGUUACGAAUGGAAGGAAUUCUUCGACGAGUGCA